Molecule: long non-coding RNA, 228 nt
Organism: Uloborus diversus
Lineage: Eukaryota; Metazoa; Arthropoda; Arachnida; Araneae; Uloboridae
Exons: 3
Source: RefSeq, a predicted model, not a curated record
GCGUGGUUUAAAAAAUGGCCUGAAGAAUGUAGUAAUGAGUAAUGUGUUAAUGUAUUUAUUAUGAUGAGAUUUUUGCAAUUAAAUAUGCAUGAAAAUGUGUUGACUUUUGUCAGAAUUGUUCCUGUCAGCCUUUAGCGUGCAUAGAUCUGCGUCAACUAGAAAUCUGUUAUCAAGGGUUCCUCCAUGUUAGUUUACCAAGAUGGCAAUUGUUUGAUCCUGAAUAGCGAG